RNAcentral lists this ribosomal RNA (453 nucleotides) under uncultured bacterium. Its description in RNAcentral is "bacterial SSU rRNA". It matches the Rfam family "Bacterial small subunit ribosomal RNA", at positions 340 to 786 of the family's 1533-position model. The record is from RNAcentral.
UACGGGAGGCAGCAGUGGGGAAUAUUGCACAAUGGGCGCAAGCCUGAUGCAGCCAUGCCGCGUGUAUGAAAAAGGCCUUCGGGUUGUAAAGUACUUUCAGUCGUGAGGAAGGUGUUAAGGUUAAUAACCUUAGCAAUUGACGUUAGCGACAGAAGAAGCACCGGCUAACUCCGUGCCAGCAGCCGCGGUAAUACGGAGGGUGCGAGCGUUAAUCGGAAUUACUGGGCGUAAAGGGCACGCAGGCGGUUAAUUAAGUUGGAUGUGAAAUCCCCGGGCUUAACCUGGGAAUGGCAUUCAAGACUGGUUAGCUAGAGCCUUGUAGAGGGGGUAGAAUUCCAUGUGUAGCGGUGAAAUGCGUAGAGAUGUGGAGGAAUACCGGUGGCGAAGGCGGCCCCUGGACAAAGACUGACGCUCAUGUGCGAAAGCGUGGGGAGCAAACAGGGAUUAGAUACC